This 954-nucleotide non-coding RNA is filed under the name Spratelloides delicatulus (delicate round herring). RNAcentral's name for it is "12S rRNA". It matches the Rfam family "Bacterial small subunit ribosomal RNA". The record is from RNAcentral. Lineage: Eukaryota; Metazoa; Chordata; Actinopteri; Clupeiformes; Clupeidae.
CAAAAGUUUGGUCCUGACUUUAUCGUCAGCUUUAGCCCGACUUACACAUGCAAGUAUCCGCACCCCAGUGAAGAUGCCCUCACCCAUCCGUCCGAGGAAGAGGGGCCGGUAUCAGGCGCAGUUGACGCCCAAGACGCCUUGCUCAGCCACACCCCCAAGGGAAUUCAGCAGUGAUAGACAUUAAGCAAUAAGUGUAAGCUUGACUUAGUUAGGGCUAAGAGGGCCGGUAAAACUCGUGCCAGCCACCGCGGUUAUACGAGAGGCCCUAGUCGACGACCCCGGCGUAAAGAGUGGUUAUGGGGCCCCUUCCUUCUUUACUAAAGCUGAACCUCCCCCAGGCCGUUAUACGCUUCCGGAGGAUGGAACCCCCCAGACGAAAGUAGCUUUAAACCUCCAACCAGAACCCACGACAGCCAGGGCACAAACUGGGAUUAGAUACCCCACUAUGCCCGGCCUUAAACCUAGGCACCAGACUACAACAGGUGCCCGCCUGGGGACUACGGGCACUAGCCUAAAACCCAAAGGACUUGGCGGUGUUUCAGACCCCCCUAGAGGAGCCUGUUCUAGAACCGAUAACCCUCGUUUAACCUCACCACCUCUUGUCAAUGCCGCCUAUAUACCGCCGUCGCCAGCUUACCCUGUGAAGGACUCCCAGUAAGCAAGAUGGGCACUCCCCAGAACGUCAGGUCGAGGUGUAGCGGAUGGGGUGGGAAGAAAUGGGCUACAUUAUCUGGACCAGAUAACCAACGGAAGGUCCUCUGCAACGAGGUCACGAAGGUGGAUUUAGCAGUAACGGGGGAAUAGAGUGCCCCCUUGAAGCCGGCUCUGAAACGCGCACACACCGCCCGUCACUCUCCCCAACACGACCCCACUCGAGUUAAUAACGUGAUCCUAAUAAAGAGGGGAGGCAAGUCGUAACAUGGUAAGUGUACCGGAAGGUGCACUUGGAAUAAU